GGCCGAAUAGUUUAAGGAGAAUGGUGGUUUUGUAAUCCGCAGGUACUCAUGUGAGUUUUGGCCA
Molecule: transfer RNA, 64 nt
Filed under: Teredo sp. TBF02
Lineage: Eukaryota; Metazoa; Mollusca; Bivalvia; Myida; Teredinidae
Also listed under: 2 other names
Description: tRNA-Thr
Rfam family: tRNA
About the family: Transfer RNA (tRNA) molecules are approximately 80 nucleotides in length.
Source: RNAcentral